UAAUAUCGUACUAUUUCGGCGUUUUACCACUACAUCCACAAAACUAUUUUCGUUUCUGUAAGGCAGUUUCUGUAGUGAGGGGAGUAACAUAUAUCGAAUUCGAUUAUUUAGUAUGAUAGAAAGAGAUCUGCGUAUACACAAUAUUCAAAUAUGACAUUUGAAAAAUUUCCGCCAUUUACUUUUUCAUUUGGAGACGCUAAGAGGUUCGUUUGGAUGUAUUCCAGCCCAGGAGCACAACCGAUAUAUUAAAACCAAAAUCAAAAUAUUAAAGCAAAACAUAUCCUGAAGAAAUAAAGAUGUCACCAAGAAAUACUUGAAAUAUGCUGGAAAUGUUUAUUAUUUUAAGUAUUUAUAAUUAUUUAAAUAUUUUCCUAGGU
This is a long non-coding RNA of Ceratitis capitata (Mediterranean fruit fly), 377 nucleotides long. RefSeq lists it as uncharacterized. The transcript has 3 exons. Lineage: Eukaryota; Metazoa; Arthropoda; Insecta; Diptera; Tephritidae. The record is from RefSeq and is a predicted model, not a curated record.